ACCAACAGGGAUUGCCUUAGUAACGGCGAGUGAAGCGGCAAUAGCUCAAAUUUGAAAGCUGGCCCCUUCGGGGUCCGCGUUGUAAUUUGUAGAGGAUGAUUCGGCGAGGGCUCCCGUCUAAGUCCCUUGGAACAGGGCGUCAUAGAGGGUGAGAAUCCCGUAUGUGAUGGGCUGCCUUAGCCAUGUGAAUCUCCUUCGACGAGUCGAGUUGUUUGGGAAUGCAGCUCUAAAUGGGAGGUAAAUUUCUUCUAAAGCUAAAUACCGGCCAGAGACCGAUAGCGCACAAGUAGAGUGAUCGAAAGAUGAAAAGCACUUUGGAAAGAGAGUUAAAAAGUACGUGAAAUUGUUGAAAGGGAAGCGCUUGCAGCCAGACUUGUCCGCAGUUGCUCAGCUUGUCUCCUGACAGGCGUACUCUUCUGCGGCCAGGCCAGCAUCAGUUCGGGCGGUCGGAUAAAGACCUGGGGAAUGUAGCUCCUCUCGGGGAGUGUUAUAGCCCUGGGUGCAAUGCGGCCAGCCUGGACUGAGGAUCUCGCUUCGGCUAGGAUGCUGGCGUAAUGGCUGUAAGCGGCCCGUCUUGAAACACGGACCAAGGAGUCUAACAUCUAUGCGAGUGUUUGGGUGUCAAACCCAUGCGCGUAAUGAAAGUGAACGGAGGUGGGAACCCUCACGGGUGCACCAUCGACCGAUCCUGAUGUCUUCGGAUGGAUUUGAGUAAGAGCAUAGCUGUUGGGACCCGAAAGAUGGUGAACUAUGCCUGAAUAGGGUGAAGCCAGAGGAAACUCUGGUGGAGGCUCGCAGCGGUUCUGACGUGCAAAUCGAUCGUCAAAUUUGGGUAUAGGGGCGAAAGACUAAUCGAACC
RNAcentral lists this ribosomal RNA (859 nucleotides) under Neofusicoccum sp. RNAcentral's name for it is "partial large subunit ribosomal RNA". It matches the Rfam family "Eukaryotic large subunit ribosomal RNA", at positions 64 to 941 of the family's 3401-position model. Lineage: Eukaryota; Fungi; Ascomycota; Dothideomycetes; Botryosphaeriales; Botryosphaeriaceae. The record is from RNAcentral.